GACGAACGCUGGCGGCGUGCUUAACACAUGCAAGUCGAACGGAAAGGCCCUGCUUUUGUGGGGUGCUCGAGUGGCGAACGGGUGAGUAACACGUGAGUAACCUGCCCUUGACUUUGGGAUAACUUCAGGAAACUGGGGCUAAUACCGGAUAGGAGCUCCUGCUGCAUGGUGGGGGUUGGAAAGUUUCGGCGGGUGGGGAUGGACUCGCGGCUUAUCAGCUUGUUGGUGGGGUAGUGGCUUACCAAGGCUUUGACGGGUAGCCGGCCUGAGAGGGUGGCCGGCCACAUUGGGACUGAGAUACGGCCCAGACUCCUACGGGAGGCAGCAGUGGGGAAUAUUGCACAAUGGGCGGAAGCCUGAUGCAGCAACGCCGCGUGCGGGAUGACGGCCUUCGGGUUGUAAACCGCUUUCGCCUGUGACGAAGCGUGAGUGACGGUAAUGGGUAAAGAAGCACCGGCUAACUACGUG
Molecule: ribosomal RNA, 468 nt
Filed under: uncultured bacterium
Lineage: Bacteria
Description: partial 16S ribosomal RNA
Rfam family: Bacterial small subunit ribosomal RNA
Source: RNAcentral